Molecule: long non-coding RNA, 666 nt
Filed under: Equus asinus (donkey)
Lineage: Eukaryota; Metazoa; Chordata; Mammalia; Perissodactyla; Equidae
Description: lncRNA (ENSEASG00005036461.1)
Source: RNAcentral
GGCAGCACUGCAUUUCAGACAUGGAGAAUCCUCUCCGGUUUCUGAAAAGCGUUCUUGCCACCUGGCUGAGCUCCACUUCCACUUCCUGGGCGAUGGAUUCCAUCCUCGCCUUCUUGUGUGGACUGGGGCUCUUCCUCGUGCUCCUUCCCUCCCUCCACAGGAAUCCAUCCUUACGACCCCCGGUGAAACGGAGAAACGUCAGGAAGCCUCAAGUGGAGCUGAGGGGGAGGAGCAGCAGGAGUCGGAAGAAAAGUGGAGCUCUGCAAAGUAAGCUUCUGACGUUGGGUCCUGUGCCUCGAGAGCUGGCCGUCAUCUCUCCUGUCCCUGGUCACCCAGCUCCAUGGCCUCCGAGGAUGCCAGAGGCAGAGCGUGUCCCUCAGGAAGCAGAGCCCUCUGGGAGGCUCCCAGGAAGGAGAUGAGAACCUAGAUCCUUGCCAGAGUCUGUGCCAGGAAGGAAGCCUCAAGCCCGGAGGGGCCAGGAAAUGGGUGAUGAGUAGCAGGGGCCUGUGGGCUAUAGUGGAUGUGGAGGCACAUUGUCAGUGACAAACCUCAACCCGUCAUGUGCCUUGCCAUCCCCCUCGGGGACCACGUAGCCUUGGACUAUGCUGCUUGGGCUCCAGAGUUGGCCUUCCCUAUGGUCUCCUCUAAAGGGACAUUGCAGGCAGC